AUCCUUUGGAUUAUGUAUAUGAUGUAUGAUGUUCAUGCUAUAUGCAUGAGAUGUGUCUCCUUUAAACCUUGCUAUGAUAUAGACAUGUUACCUGUUUGAGA
Cavia porcellus (domestic guinea pig) is the source of this 101-nucleotide small nucleolar RNA. It matches the Rfam family "Small nucleolar RNA U13". Lineage: Eukaryota; Metazoa; Chordata; Mammalia; Rodentia; Caviidae. The record is from Rfam.